AACGCUGGCGGCGUGCCUAACACAUGCAAGUCGAACGGAGUUCAUUGGAUUGAGGCUUCGGCCAAAUGAAUUUGAACUUAGUGGCGAACGGGUGAGUAACGCGUGAGCAACCUGCCUUUCAGAGGGGGACAACAGUUGGAAACGACUGCUAAUACCGCAUAACACAUCGAGGAGGCAUCUCCUUGAUGUCAAAGAUUUAUCGCUGAAAGAUGGGCUCGCGUCUGAUUAGAUAGUUGGUGAGGUAACGGCUCACCAAGUCGACGAUCAGUAGCCGGACUGAGAGGUUGAACGGCCACAUUGGAACUGAGAUACGGUCCAGACUCCUACGGGAGGCAGCAGUGGGGAAUAUUGGGCAAUGGGCGAAAGCCUGACCCAGCGACGCCGCGUGAAGGAUGAAGGUCUUCGGAUCGUAAACUUCUGUCUUAUGGGAAGAACAAGGACGGUACCAUAGGAGGAAGCCACGGCUAACUACGUG
RNAcentral lists this ribosomal RNA (475 nucleotides) under uncultured bacterium. RNAcentral describes it as "bacterial SSU rRNA". It matches the Rfam family "Bacterial small subunit ribosomal RNA", at positions 32 to 507 of the family's 1533-position model. The record is from RNAcentral.